CUACGGGGUGCAGCAGUUAGGAAUUUUGCGCAAUGGGCGAAAGCCUGACGCAGCGACGUCGCGUGGAGGAUGACGGCCUUCGGGUUGUAAACUCCUUUUGUUCAACACCAUCGUUGUUCGAAUAAGCAUCUACUAAUUACGUGCCAGCAGUCGCGGUAAUACGUAAGAUGCGAGCGUUACCCGGUUUUAUUGGGCGUAAAGGGUCUGCAGGUGGUCUAAUAAGUCUUGUUUCAAAUUCUCCGACUUAAUCGGAGACCGGGAUAGGAUACUAUUAGACUAGAGUUAUAUCGGAGUUACUGGAAUUUGUAGUGUAGGGGUAAAAUCCGUGGAUACUACAAAGAACACCAAUCGCGAAGGCUGGUAACUAGGUAUCAACUGACACUCAGAGACGAAAGCCAGGGGAGCAAAUCGGAUUAGAUACCCCGGUAGUC
RNAcentral lists this ribosomal RNA (431 nucleotides) under uncultured bacterium. Its description in RNAcentral is "partial 16S ribosomal RNA". It matches the Rfam family "Bacterial small subunit ribosomal RNA", at positions 339 to 795 of the family's 1533-position model. The record is from RNAcentral.